RNAcentral lists this ribosomal RNA (249 nucleotides) under uncultured Runella sp. RNAcentral describes it as "partial 16S ribosomal RNA". It matches the Rfam family "Bacterial small subunit ribosomal RNA", at positions 355 to 601 of the family's 1533-position model. The record is from RNAcentral. Lineage: Bacteria; Pseudomonadati; Bacteroidota; Cytophagia; Cytophagales; Spirosomataceae.
UAGGGAAUAUUGGGCAAUGGAUGCAAGUCUGACCCAGCCAUGCCGCGUGGAGGAAGAAGGUCCUCUGGAUUGUAAACUCCUUUUUUGGGGGAAGAAUAGUUUUCUUGCGAGAGAAUGUGACGGUACCCUAAGAAUAAGCCACGGCUAACUACGUGCCAGCAGCCGCGGUAAUACGUAGGUGGCAAGCGUUGUCCGGAUUUAUUGGGUUUAAAGGGUGCGUAGGUGGUUUGAUAAGUCAGGGGUGAAAGC